RNAcentral lists this long non-coding RNA (210 nucleotides) under Olea europaea (common olive). RNAcentral describes it as "long non-coding RNA (OEUR_LNC000373)". Lineage: Eukaryota; Viridiplantae; Streptophyta; Magnoliopsida; Lamiales; Oleaceae. The record is from RNAcentral.
CCAAAAGCUCUUUCACUCUCGGCAUGUCAUCUUUCACGAAGGAAUCUUCCCUUUUCAAAAGGCAAACCCUACAGAUCCCGUAAACUCCUCAUCUCCAGCAGCCAAAGAAAGUUCCCAAGUGACGAUCUCGUUGCCAAAAGUCUUCUUGACUCCAUCCCAAGCUCCAGAAUCCCGGGUAUUGGGUACUGAAGUCUCGCCAUCGUCUGCGAA